Molecule: ribosomal RNA, 539 nt
Filed under: uncultured bacterium
Lineage: Bacteria
Description: partial 16S ribosomal RNA
Rfam family: Bacterial small subunit ribosomal RNA
Source: RNAcentral
UGGGGAAUUUUGGACAAUGGGGGAAACCCUGAUCCAGCCAUCCCGCGUGUGCGAUGAAGGCCUUCGGGUUGUAAAGCACUUUUGGCAGGAAAGAAACGUCGCGGGUUAAUACCCCCGCGGAACUGACGGUACCUGCAGAAUAAGCACCGGCUAACUACGUGCCAGCAGCCGCGGUAAUACGUAGGGUGCAAGCGUUAAUCGGAAUUACUGGGCGUAAAGCGUGCGCAGGCGGUUCGGAAAGAAAGAUGUGAAAUCCCAGAGCUUAACUUUUGGAAACUGCAUUUUUAAACUACCGGGCUANAGUGUGUCAGAGGGAGGUGGAAUUCCGCGUGUAGCAGUGAAAUGCGUAGAUAUGCGGAGGAACACCGAUGGCGAAGGCAGCCUCCUGGGAUAACACUGACGCUCAUGCACGAAAGCGUGGGGAGCAAACAGGAUUAGAUACCCUGGUAGUCCACGCCCUAAACGAUGUCAACUAGCUGUUGGGGUCUUCGGACCUUGGUANCGCAGCUAACGCGUGAAGUUGACCGCCUGGGGAGUNC